RNAcentral lists this ribosomal RNA (261 nucleotides) under uncultured archaeon. Its description in RNAcentral is "partial 16S ribosomal RNA". It matches the Rfam family "Archaeal small subunit ribosomal RNA", at positions 748 to 1008 of the family's 1478-position model. The record is from RNAcentral.
CAGCCGUAAACUAUGCGCGUUAGGUGUAUCGGUGACCACGAGUUACCGAGGUGCCGAAGGGAAACCGUGAAACGUGCCGCCUGGGAAGUACGGUCGCGAGGCUGAAACUUAAAGGAAUUGGCGGGGGAGCACCACAACAGGUGGAGCCUGCGGUUUAAUUGGACUCAACGCCGGGAAGCUCACCGGAUAGGACAGCAGAAUGAUUGCCGGGCUGAAGACCCUGCAUGACUAGCUGAGAGGUGGUGCAUGGCGUCAGUGACU